Molecule: long non-coding RNA, 5236 nt
Organism: Mirounga angustirostris (Northern elephant seal)
Lineage: Eukaryota; Metazoa; Chordata; Mammalia; Carnivora; Phocidae
Exons: 3
Source: RefSeq, a predicted model, not a curated record
UGAACUGCCCUAUCCCGCCUGGGCGCAGAGAGCCGCGGCCGCGCCAGCCCAAGGGCGUCCACCUACGUACCGGCCCCUGACCCCGCCGCCGCCCCUCUCAGGCCCGGAGCGCAGGGCCCACCCGAAGCGCGUCGCGGCUGGAGGUGACACCGCGAGCCAUCACGCCUUUCCCUGGGUUAGGAUGUCGCAGUGGCUGCCUCUGACCCUUCCCCGCGAAAACCUCACCCCGACUCCCACCUCUCUAGCCACAGCCGCGGCCGUCUCGCAGCCUUUCCUCUUCGGCCUGAGAGCCCGCAGCGGCCGGGAACGCGCGCGGCGGUCACAUGACCGCCCGUCGCGUCGCGGGGGGGCGGGGCCGCGCGGGGCGGAAGUAGAGCCUUGUACUGGGGCUCUCGCGCCAGCCCCUCCGCUCUGUUUCCUCGCGACCCAGUCCUCAGGCGAGCGGUUGGGUACUUACUUUUUCCUGCCUUUGGAGACCUGCAGUUUCUCCCUGGAUCGUUCUAACUGCUUUGUAUUAUGCUUUACUUGUAAUUAGGUGCCGAAGAUUGAAAGAGUGCAGGUCCACUAGAGAGAGAUUUGGGGCAAAGGAAGUAAGACGCGUGUAGAACCAGCAGGUGGUGCUGCUCAGAAGCCCCGCUUCGAGACUCAAGAGAAGCCUUUGGGCGCCUAGCUGGAUUUUGGGGUGCAGAGGCCUUGGCAGAGUACUGCUUGUUCUCUUAACAACCACAACAAAGGGGUCCUUUGAGAGUUCUAUCUAGUUUAUUCACCGUCCGAAGGGUUGAGCAAUUUAAUCGGAAAAAAAUAGAUCUUAAUUUCCUUUUGGACCCAUUUUUCUUAGACUAGAGCAUAGGAAGCUGAAGAAGAGAUCAAUCAGCAGAAGAAUCUAAAACUAAAGGAAUGGCUUAUCUUGUUGCAUUCGUGUGGUUUAAACGCCAAAACCUUGGCAGUAUCCUCCAUUACAUUUUAGCAUAUACAUUGUCUUUCUUGGAACUGACUAUAUUUUCUCAAUUUAUAGUAAAAUGAGGAGGGUGGAAUAGCAUGCGUUUUGUCUUUAAAAGAGUAUAUAUUCCAACAUUCCAUGGCAGUAUCUUACUUUCAGUACUGUUGCAUUUUGAAAUGUCAUAAGCUGUUCACUUAAGGCUGGAAAUUUUUAGUGUCCAUAUAUAUAGACAUGUUUACAUUUUCUUUUAUUCUUCUGAAAUCAAUAUAUUUCAAGGUUCUUAUAUAUAUCAAUAUAUAACUAGCUCUUGAAGAGUGCCAUCUAGCUCAAUGAUGCUUAAUGUAAGCAAAACAAGAUUUUUUUACAACUUCUCUAAGUGUAAUAAUGUUGAAGAGUAUGUUCUCCAGCUUUAAGCUUAAUCCUGUCUUUAUGUUCUCCUUAGCCAUCCAGUCUUACCCCUCUAUCCUACACACCCCAUGAACAAAUAAUACUAAAAAUUUGAUAUAUACUUGAAGAUGCCAGCUUUAAGAUAUAAUAUUAAUAUUAACUAACUGAAUGCCAUCAUUCUAAGUGCUUUACACAUAUUAGCUCACAAUAAACUCUAAGGUAGGUACUAUUGUUAUUCCCAUUUUACAAAAACAGACACAGCUAGGAUUUGAAUCUAGGCAGGGACUGUAGGAGUUCACCUAAUUCAAUGCUUAUUUUAUCAAGUAAGAAAUAGAUAUAACAAGGUUAAAUGACUCACUUAAAGACUUUGUUGUUCAAGAUAGAAUGGGGUCAGAACACAAGCAUGUUUAUUGAUCCAUAAAUGCUUUUAGUUUAGAAAAAGUUAUUCACGAGUCUUGCAUUGCUCUAUGUGUAUAUUUAGAACAGUUUCUGCAAAUAAAUAUAAUUGAUACUCUAUCCGUCUACACAGAAGAAAAGAAUUAACAAGAAUCUCACUACAAUGCCCUUUCAGGCUUCAAAUUGUCUCUCAGCCACACCUAUAAUCUUUUAUCAGUGAAAAGCUCCAUCUUUCCAUAUCCAAAUCCAUCUUUAAUUCCUCUUUCUCUUAUGUCCCUUAUCCACUUUGCAAAUAAUCUGUUGAUUUUUCCUUCAAAACACAUUCAGAAAAUGGCUACUUACCACUUCUACACAACCUACAUCAUCUCUUGUUUGGAUUAUUGCAGUAGCCCAGGGACUGGUUUUCUUGCUUCUGUUCUUGCUUUCCUUUGAGUCUAUUCUCAACACAGAGGACAAAGUAAACUUACUAAAAGAAAGUCAGAUCAUACCACUCCUCUCUCUGUUCAGAGUCUCUCAUGGCCUCCUAAAACAAAGUAAAAACAAAAGUCUUUAAACAGGUACUGUGUUUAUACUUAAUGGAGUUAUUAUUUUUUUUAGUUUUUUUUUUUUUUAUUUUAGAGAGAGGGAGCAUGAGUGGGGGAGGGGUGGAAGGUAAGGGAGAGAAGCAGACUCUCCGCUGAGUGCAGAGCCCAAUGCAGGGCUCAAUCUCAGGACCCUAAGAGCAUGCCCUGAGCUGAAAUCAAGAGUCAGAUGCUUAAUCAACUGAGCCACCCAGGCACCCCAAUGGGGUUAUUUUUAUUUUAUUUUUUUUUUAAGAUUUUAUUUAUUUGACAGAGACACAGCGAGAGAGGGAACACGAGCAGGGGGAGUAGGAGAGGGAGAAGCAGGCUUCCCGCUGAGCAGGGAGCCUGAUGUGGCCCUUGAUCCUAGGACCCUGGGAUCAUGACCUGAGCUGAAGGCAGACGCUUAACGACUGAGCUACCCAGGCGCCCGUGGGGUUAUUUUUAAAUGAAUAAAUAUUUUAAAUAGUGCUCAGUUUUACUUUCUGAUGAACAUAUAUAAACAGCAGUUAAUUUUGAGUCUUCUAUAAUUUUAAAGAGUAUAAAGGGAUCCUAAGACCAAAAAGUUUGAGAACACUGGCCUUAGCCAAUUUCAUGUACCCACUCUAAGCUAGGUUUCUUCCUGCAUGCCCGCAAUCAUCUGAUAAGUGUUAUCAGUUGUGUGGACACAACUUUCUCAUAUGUCUGGAAACAGGAGAAACCAGAUUCAGAAAUGCACCUGUCAUUAUAGCUAGCAGAUGAAUACAAAUAAAGCCAAGGGGAAGUUUUGAAAUGCAAACUUUUCCAUCUCAAUUGAAGAUUUUGUUCCAAGAGCUAAUACAUAGCUUGGUCUCUGUCCUAACAUUUGAUGUCAUUCUACUUACAGUAAUCAAAUAAAAUAUACUUUCCCAGUAGAAUUCCCUUGUAAGUAAUAGUAUAGUAGACAGUUUUACUUGUGUUUUUCCUUUACCUAAUGUGAUAAUCAGUGCUCUCUCUUUGACUAGUUCUUAAUGUUCCUACUGCAGCCCCAGAAGUAACAACCAAAUUCUGACAAUUGUAUUCCUGGGAAAUAAUGCAACACAAAACAGUCACUGGGUCAAAAUUUUACAGUUUGACUGUAAAGUCAAGCAUGCCUUUCCUAACUGUUGUAUGAACACAUGAUGUAUGUAUUGAUUUUUAGAUGUCUUAUAUUGACAAUAUUAGCUAUUAUCUCCCAAAUCCCUGCUUGUUUUGUUGGAUGACAUGACCACUCAUUGAGUAUGGUAUUGAAAGAUAAGUGCUCUGUUUUAUUUUUUGACAGAAUCAUUUGUUGUUUUAAAGCUUGAUUAUUAUUUUAAUAAAACUGAAACUUGCACCAUAUUACAUAAAAGGAAGUAGUUUACAUUCAUACAGGCAGCAAAUAUGUUUUGCAAUAUCACAUUUUCCUCAAAAUGGCUAGGGUUUAGGGAAUCAAUGUUAAAUGGACUUAUAAUCAUGCAUAUUUGGGCUUUUGUUUAUUUGUGAAAUUAUAUGCAUAUCAGUUAUCAGCUUAAUAAAAUUAUAACCUAAAAACUUGAAAUACUUUGCAUAGCAGUGUAUCAGUCAGGGUCCUAUUUGGAACAUAGAAACCACCUUAGAUAUUUCAAACAGAGGGAACUUAAUGCAGUGAAUUGGUUGCAAGUUUUGAAAAAAUGGAGGAGCCAAGGAAGGAAGAUGAGGAUUCCGUGAAAUCAGGAACUAGAAAGUCACUAAGCUCUCCUGAGGUCAAAGGAGCAGAGGGCUUUCUGGUGUUCUCAGGACCACUCAUGUGUCCCUUAAGCUGCUGGUUGAACGGCUGCAAUAGUAAGCCAGGAGCUCAUAAGCUCACCGAGGCUGCAGGGAUCCAGGAAUUUAUGGCAAUUAGGAUUUACCUACCCCUGCCACUACCAGAGCCAGGACCAAGAAAAGAAUCAACUUCCCCCUUCCACCUCCUAUUUGCAUAUGAGUGUUUUCCAUUGGUAGAACUACACAGGAAACCAACAGUCAGCGGGUUCUGGAAAAUGACUCUCCAGCUCCCUUAGAUAUCAAGCAGAAUAGAGACGUGCCAGUGUGAGACUAGGCAUCAACAGAGAAGGUAUUUGCUGCUACUAGAACUAGUAUUGAGUUUUCCCUUUUGUUCUUCCUCGUCCUAUGGACCUUCCAUAAGGGGUCCACGAGAUGCUGAGAAACACUACACCAUUCUGAUAAAUGGAGCAUGAAACUGGACUAAGUCAGUGAGUAUAUACCAACCCAGGCUAAUGACUAUAAGAUGUGGGCAUUAGACCCAAGACAGUGCUAUCCUGAAAUUCUGGGACUUUUGCAGAGAGCUAUGGGACGCAGACCCUCUCCUCCUCUGGAUGGCAUCAAGUGCAGAGGUUACACCUUGGGCUGCCUCCUUCGUAUUGUUACCAUGAGGAAAACCAGCCUGAAGAUGAAACUGACAGGGACAGAACAACUGGACUGAGAGAAUGCCAGAAGCCUUAUGGAAGCACACUUCAGGGCUGCCUUUUCUCUGAAAUUCUCAAUUAUAGAAAUUUUUCGUACACUUUGGACUAACUGUGCAUUCUACGUGGAAUCCUGUUAUGGUCUGAAUGUUUGUGUCCCUGCAAGAUUUAAGUUGAAAUCCUAAAUUCCCAAAGGUGAAGGUAUUAGUAGAUGGGGACUUUGGGAGAAGAUGGAGUCAUGAGGGUAAAGCCCUCCUUAAUGGGAUUAGUGCUCUGGUAAAAGAUGCCCCACAGAACUCCCCAGCCCUUCUGCUUGUGAGGAUGCAAGGAGAGGUCUGCAACUUCGAAGAGAGCUCACCCAACCAUGCUGGCACCCUGAUUUCACUUUAGAGCCCUCAGAACUGGGCACCUGGGUGGCUCAGUCGUUAAGCAUCUGCCUUCGGCUCAGGUCAUGAUCCCAGGGUCCUGGGAUCGAGCCCCGCAUCGGGCUCCCUGCUCCACGGGAAGCCUGCUUCUCCCUCCCCCAUUCCCCC